GUGUGUGAGCACGCGCUCUAUCUUGUCCAUGUUUUUUACAGUCUAUGGUCCUUCUCACUGAAAUGGUUAUAAGAUCUGCUGGUCCUACCUCACAGCAUUUCACUUUAAGUGAAGCUUCUGUCACAGCUGUUUUCCAAUAAGUGUUGGUAUUUUCACAUCAGUCUAAAAGUGCAGCAGAUCGAGUUUAUGAACGAACAAGACAAACAUGAUUUAUCCAGAAUCCUGCAGAAUGGAACAUGAAGAUACUGAAGAAAUAGACCUGGUGAAAGAGAAUAAGGAGAGUAAAGAACUGAGUGAAACAGAGGAGAAACAUCAUGAUGUAAAAGGUGGAGAAAGUAAUUUUUUACUGAAAAGAGCCAAAGGAUCUUUCACCUGCCCUCAGUGUGGAAGGAGUUUCUCAUGCAAUCAAAAUCUUAAAUGUCACAUGAUAGUUCACAAUGGAGAGAAGCCACACACCUGUGAUCAAUGUGGGACGAGUUUUGCAAAUAGAGGAAACCUUAAGAAACACAUGAAUAAUCCACACUGGAGAAAAAACACACACAUGCGAUCAGUGCGGGAAGAGUUUUGCUCGAAGAGAAACCCUUAAAGAACACAUGAAAAUCCACACUGGAGAAAAACCACACACAUGCAAUCAGUGCGGGAAGAGUUUCGCUCAAAAAGGAACUUUUAAAUUACAUCUGCGUUGCCAUUCUGGAGAAAGGCCAUAUAACUGUGAUCAGUGCGGUAAAAACUUUUCUUAUGCAGAUUGCCUGAAAAGCCACCUGAAAGUUAAUUCACAGGAGAAGCCUUAUACGUGUUCUUUGUGUGAAAAGAGUUUUCCACGUCUGAGUGCUUUUAAAUUGCACCAGAAAAGACACGGCGGUGUGAAAGAUUAUAUGUGCUUUGAUUGUGGAAAGACCUUUAUUGCAGCUGAUAAACUAAAACGGCACCAGAUAAUUCACAGUUCAGAAAAACCGUACAAGUGUUCACACUGUGACAAGAAAUUCAAUCAGUCAGAAAAUCUGAAAACACAUGAGAGAAUCCAGACUGGAGACAAACCACACACGUGACCAGUGUGGGAAGAGUUUCACACAAAAAGGAGGCCUUAAGGAACACAUGAAAAUCCACACUGGAGUGAAGCCACACACAUGUGAUCAAUGAGAAAAGAGUUUCAGAAAAUCAACUGAAUCACAUGUGAAUUCUCAUACAGUAAAAUCAGAAAUCCUGUCAGUGCAGCACCAGCAAUCUGAGCUAAUUAGAGACUUCUUAAUUUCUGUCUAGUUUCAAAUAAAGAGACAGCAGAA
Molecule: long non-coding RNA, 1283 nt
Organism: Sinocyclocheilus anshuiensis
Lineage: Eukaryota; Metazoa; Chordata; Actinopteri; Cypriniformes; Cyprinidae
Exons: 3
Source: RefSeq, a predicted model, not a curated record